Molecule: transfer RNA, 73 nt
Filed under: Apiotrichum gracile
Lineage: Eukaryota; Fungi; Basidiomycota; Tremellomycetes; Trichosporonales; Trichosporonaceae
Description: tRNA-Pro
Rfam family: tRNA
About the family: Transfer RNA (tRNA) molecules are approximately 80 nucleotides in length.
Source: RNAcentral
AGAUCGGUAUUUCAAUUGGUAGAAGAUACGCUUUGGGUGCGUAGGGUUGCAGGUUCAAGUCCUGUCCAUCUGA